UAAAGUGGGUGGUGGAGUGACGAUGGGAUGUAGGGAGAAAAGUGAGACGUAGGAGAAAGCAAAUCAACUUUCGAGAACGAGGUGUGCCUCUUGUGCUGUGUCUCUUGUUUAUAAAGGAUCCAUGUGCUGUCUCGUGGCGGCAGGAAUCAGUGUGUAAUUAAGCUAAUCUAUGAAGAAAACCCCUCCAGAAAACUAUUGUAGAAGGAGCGUGCAAUGGUGAACAAGAGCUACGGAAGAUGAUGGAGCGUCAAAUUAAGAUUAAGACGCGCCGCCUGUUUGUUUAUCGGAUUAGUCUAGGCGGCGAAAAACACGGGAAGAAAGCCGCUUAAGAUGGAUCGGUGGCAGUGGAGACACGUCUGCAGCGCGCGCGUCAUUGAGACCUGAAGGA
Portunus trituberculatus (swimming crab) is the source of this 388-nucleotide long non-coding RNA. RefSeq lists it as uncharacterized. The transcript has 4 exons. NCBI's taxonomy places the organism in Eukaryota, Metazoa, Arthropoda, Malacostraca, Decapoda, Portunidae. The record is from RefSeq and is a predicted model, not a curated record.